Molecule: long non-coding RNA, 624 nt
Organism: Frieseomelitta varia
Lineage: Eukaryota; Metazoa; Arthropoda; Insecta; Hymenoptera; Apidae
Exons: 3
Source: RefSeq, a predicted model, not a curated record
AAAAGAAAACUUGAGGGCUCAACAUCUGAAAAGUUCCGUUUAGAUGAAGAUAAACUUUAAAUCGUGAAGUUAUUUUUGCCGCCACGACUGAUAAAGUUAUUUUAAAAACAAUAAUUAGAGGAAACCGAAGAAAGUAAAAUCGCAAGUGCAAAAAAUUGAAGUAUUGUAUAUUUAGACAUGACAGAAUUGGAUUUAUAAUAUGAUGGAUGAUAGAUCCGUUGCAAUGUGGACGUCAUGAAAAAUAACAUUUACGAAGAAUCCUUAUGCACGUGAGAAAAAACUGGGGGAAACGAUGGCAGGACGAAAAUCGUUAAUAAUUGUCAAUAUCAUUCCAUUGGAAAAUACAAGUAGAAUUUAAGUCUAUCGAAUGUGCAAGUGAUUUAUUGAAUUUUGUCCAAAAAUAAUUGUCCAAAUCGAAGUUGAAAACGAAUCAUUAUUGCUGACAAUUGUAAAAAUACAACAGUUUCCAUAAAAAUGUAUCACCAGGAACGUAUAUAAUAUAAAUAUAAAUACGUAAUACAUAAAUACUUUGCACUUGUAUUGAACGAAGAGACCUACCGAACUAUCGAACUAAGAGAAAUAUCGAAAGCGUGCUGAUAAUAGUUUUAACAAAGAUAGUCUCAA